Molecule: ribosomal RNA, 508 nt
Filed under: Branchiosyllis exilis
Lineage: Eukaryota; Metazoa; Annelida; Polychaeta; Phyllodocida; Syllidae
Description: partial 16S ribosomal RNA
Rfam family: Bacterial large subunit ribosomal RNA
Source: RNAcentral
AAAACAUAGCCUCUUGUGUUCAGUAAUAGGAGGUGGUUCCUGCCCGGUGACUUGAGGUUAAACGGCCGCGGUACACUGACCGUGCUAAGGUAGCGCAAUCACGUGCCCUUUAAUUGAGGGAUAGUAUGAAUGAAGUUACGGGGACAAACUGUCUCUUUGUUACAAAUUGAAAUUUAUCUUUAGGUGAAAAAGCCUAGAUGUAAAAAUAAGACAGAAAGACCCUAAAAGCUUGGCUUAAGUUAAUUAUUUAAAUUGGCUAAGGUUUAGUUGGGGCGACGUAUAAUAAUAAACGUUAUUUAAAAUAAAAGGAAACAAUCCGGUAGAAAAUAGCCAGACUCAUAAGAGUAAGUUACUUUAGGGAUAACAGGCUAGUCCUCUCUGAGAGAACACAUCGACGGGAGGGUUCGGCACCUCGAUGUUGGCUUAGGAUUCCUUUAAUGUGCAGGGGCAUUAAGAGGUGGUUUGUUCAACCAUUAAACUCCUACAUGAUCUGAGUUCAAACCGGAGA